GACAUAGGUGGCAAACGUUAUCCGGAAUUAUUGGGCGUAAAGGGUGUGUAGGUGGUCAUAUUAGUCUUUUGUUAAAUUCUUCGGCUUAACCGGGGGCAUGCAAAGGAAACGGUAUGACUUGAGGAUGCGAGAGGUACAUGGAACUCAUGGAGUAGGGGUGAAAUCCGUUGAUAUCAUGGGGAACACCAAAAGCGAAGGCAAUGUACUGGCGCACUCCUGACACUGAAACACGAAAGCGUAGGUAGCGAAUGGG
RNAcentral lists this ribosomal RNA (253 nucleotides) under uncultured bacterium. RNAcentral describes it as "partial 16S ribosomal RNA". It matches the Rfam family "Bacterial small subunit ribosomal RNA", at positions 524 to 776 of the family's 1533-position model. The record is from RNAcentral.